Molecule: small nucleolar RNA, 120 nt
Organism: Phyllostomus discolor (pale spear-nosed bat)
Lineage: Eukaryota; Metazoa; Chordata; Mammalia; Chiroptera; Phyllostomidae
Product: small nucleolar RNA SNORA61
Exons: 1
Source: RefSeq, a predicted model, not a curated record
ACCCUCCAAUUCCCUUUCCCAUCGGAUCUGAACACCAGUCUUGGUGGUUGUAAAAGGAGGGAAAGUAACACUGAAGCUGGCCUCACAGCUCUGUAGCAUGUGGGCUAGUUUCAAACGAGG